AACAGGAUCAGUGGAAGCAGAUCUGCUUCAGUCAUCGCGCUUUAAAACGCUGCAGCAGCUUUUCAGGCUAAAAUAAAACAGCACAUUUUAAAGAGAUAAAACCCUCCUCAGGCCUGUGCAAUCCGUGUGAAAACUCUCCCCUCUUCUGCAAAGAAAUAGAGACCCCCAGGAAAAAAAAGAGAAAAAAAUCUUUCGUUUCCCUCGAGCGCAGACAUGAAUUUCUGACUCAUUAGCAUUUAUGCAAAUGACUUUCUAAUUGCAGGCGUAAUGACUCUGGCGUGGGAGAUUUUUCAGUCCGCCAUGUUUUUUUUCUUCUUCUUCUUCUAUUUCUGCAUGCUUUGCCUGUGUUUAUGUGUUUAUUGUUCUUCCUCAGAAGACUUUUAUUUGCAGCCUCCUGUCAGGAAUCCUGCUGCAGCUUCGUGACGCGUUCAGGAACAGUGGGAGACUUUUUGUGUUUGCUUUUGAUCCGGCUGCGUUUCUCCUUUUUUAAAUUUUAUUUCUUUACUGAUGCUGUGAAGUCCCGUUGUUUCCUCCUUUCAGGACGUGAAGGAAGCGGAAAAUCAACUCAGAGCUGAUCUGAGGUGUGAAGCUCGGUGCAGACUCUGUGUGGGCUGUGAACGUCUCCCUCUGCUGCUGUUUAACCUGCAAUCUGAGAUCUGAACCAUGUAAACAAAACAACAAGAGGAUAAAAAACAAAGAAAGACGAGAGCGUGCCAUCGAGGGAUUUCCAUUUCACAAAUGUUAUUAAAAACUGAAUGAAAUGAAAACAAAAAAAAAAGACCUAAAGUAGGUUUGUUGUACAUGAAUCUAACGUGGUUGCUGAUUGGCUGGAAACUAAACCUCAUGACGGGUGAAAAAUAUUUGAUAUUUUAACACUACAUGUACAGCCAAGCUCAAAAUGUUUGACAUUAUAAAGCUCUUGAAUGUGCAAUUAAAUAAAUAAUGUUAUUUAUUUAUUAAGUUUUAGUAUUUAUAUUUUUACAAGGGGAUAUAUUUCCAAUUUGUAUCUCAAAAUAAACGUGUUUAAGAAAGCAAA
Long non-coding RNA from Austrofundulus limnaeus, 1036 nucleotides. RefSeq lists it as uncharacterized. NCBI's taxonomy places the organism in Eukaryota, Metazoa, Chordata, Actinopteri, Cyprinodontiformes, Rivulidae. The transcript is spliced from 2 exons. The record is from RefSeq and is a predicted model, not a curated record.